AGUGAACAAUUAAACGGCCGCGGUACUCUAACCGUGCAAAGGUAGCAUAAUCAUUUGUCUACUAAUUAUAGACUAGCAUGAAAGGCAAAAUGAGGGUCUAACUGUCUCUUAUAGUAAGUCAAUUAAACUGAUCUACCAGUAAAAAAGCUGGAAUACACACACAAGACCAGAAGACCCUGUGAAGCUUAAACUAAACUAUUAAAAUUCUAUAAUAGCUACUUUCGGUUGGGGCGACCUUGGAAAAUAAAAGAACUUCCAAACAUAAUGAUUAUUUAUUAUCAUCCUCCAGGCCAACAAGCCAUAUACGACCCAGCAAGCUGAUAAUUGAACCAAGUUACUCCAGGGAUAACAGCGCUAUCUUCUUCAAGAGUCCAUAUCAAAAAGAAGGUUUACGACCUCGAUGUUGGAUCAGGACAUCCUAA
This 422-nucleotide ribosomal RNA is filed under the name Xenodon pulcher. Its description in RNAcentral is "LSU rRNA". It matches the Rfam family "Bacterial large subunit ribosomal RNA", at positions 1911 to 2550 of the family's 2925-position model. Lineage: Eukaryota; Metazoa; Chordata; Lepidosauria; Squamata; Dipsadidae. The record is from RNAcentral.